This 109-nucleotide ribosomal RNA is filed under the name Puccinia oenanthes-stoloniferae. Its description in RNAcentral is "partial 5.8S ribosomal RNA". It matches the Rfam family "5.8S ribosomal RNA", at positions 47 to 154 of the family's 154-position model. From Rfam's summary of the family: 5.8S ribosomal RNA (5.8S rRNA) is a component of the large subunit of the eukaryotic ribosome. It is transcribed by RNA polymerase I as part of the 45S precursor that also contains 18S and 28S rRNA. The record is from RNAcentral. Lineage: Eukaryota; Fungi; Basidiomycota; Pucciniomycetes; Pucciniales; Pucciniaceae.
AGUGAAAUGUGAUAAGUAAUGUGAAUUGCAGAAUUCAGUGAAUCAUUGAAUCUUUGAACGCAUCUUGCACCUUUUGGUAUUCCAAAAGGUACACCUGUUUGAGUGUCAU